This 1626-nucleotide ribosomal RNA is filed under the name Triticum aestivum (bread wheat). Its description in RNAcentral is "partial small subunit ribosomal RNA". The record is from RNAcentral. Lineage: Eukaryota; Viridiplantae; Streptophyta; Magnoliopsida; Poales; Poaceae.
AUGGGCCAAUGCUGCACAAACGGAGCCGGGCAGGCUGCCGCUGCCGACGCGGCGGCCGAGGCAGAGCCGCCGGCGCCCCCAAAGACGCCGCGCGGGGACAACGCACCGACCAACGAUGGCCCGGCUCCUGCUCCUGGCGCCGCCGAGGCCGAGCCCGCCUCUGCGGCAACCAAGGCGGACCCCAAUGCCAAGCCGCCGGGCCCCGUGGGCGAGGUGCUCGGGCGGCCCAUAGAGGACGUGCGCGCGACCUACACCAUCGGCGAGGAGCUCGGGCGCGGCCAGUUUGGCGUGACCUACCUGUGCACCCACACGGAGACGGGGGAGAAGCUGGCGUGCAAGACGAUCGCGAAGCGGAAGCUGUCGGGCGCGGAGGACGUGGAGGACGUCCGGCGCGAGGUGGAGAUCAUGCGCCACCUCUCCGGCCAGCCCAACAUCGUGGACCUCCGCGGCGCCUACGAGGACAAGCACAACGUGCACCUGGUGAUGGAGCUGUGCGCCGGCGGGGAGCUCUUCGACCGGAUCAUCGCCAAGGGGCACUACACGGAGCGCGCCGCCGCCUCGCUGCUCCGGUCCGUGGUCGGGACCGUGCACACCUUCCACUCCAUGGGGGUGAUGCACCGGGACCUCAAGCCGGAGAACUUCCUGAUGCUCAACCGGGACGAGUCGUCGCCCAUCAAGGCCACCGACUUCGGCCUCUCCGUCUUCUUCAAGGAAGGCGAGGUGUUCAAGGACAUCGUCGGCAGCGCCUACUACAUCGCCCCGGAGGUGCUCAAGCGCAAGUACGGCCACGAGGCCGACGUCUGGAGCAUGGGCGUCAUGCUCUACAUCUUCCUCUCCGGCGUCCCUCCCUUCUGGGCGGAGAAUGAGAACGCCAUCUUCACCGCCAUUCUGCGCGGUGAGGUCGACUUCGUCAGCGAGCCGUGGCCCAACAUCUCCCCCGGAGCCAAGGAUCUUGUCAGGAAGAUGCUCCAUAUCAACCCCAAGGACAGGCUUACGGCCACCCAAGUCCUCAACCACCCAUGGAUCAAGGAAGACGGAGACGCCCCCGACACGCCGCUCGACAACGUCGUUCUGGACAGGAUGAAGCAGUUCGUGGCCAUGAACCAGUUCAAGAAAGCCGCACUGAGAGUCAUUGCCGGGUGCCUGUCAGAGGAGGAGAUCAAGGGGCUCAAGGAGAUGUUCAAGAGCAUCGACAAGGACAACAGCGGCACCAUCACCCUCGAAGAGCUCAAGAACGGGCUGGCCAAGCAGGGCAACAAGUUUUCGGACCAUGAAAUUCAGCAACUGAUGGAAGCAGCCGAUGCCGACGGCAAUGGAUUGAUCGACUACGAGGAGUUCGUCACCGCGACGGUGCACAUGAACAGAAUGGACAGGGAAGAGCACCUCUACACCGCGUUCCAAUACUUCGACAAGGACAACAGUGGGUACAUCACAAAAGAAGAGCUGGAGCAGGCCUUACAAGAGCAGAAGUUGUUCGACGCCGAGGAAUUCAAGGAUGUCAUUGCCGAAGCCGAUUCCGACAACGAUGGGAGGAUAGACUAUUCAGAGUUCGUGGCGAUGAUGAGGAAAGGAACGGGCGGUGCGGAGCCAUCGAACCCGAAGAAGAGGCGAGACCUAGUCCUAUAG